GAUGAACGCUUGCGGCGUGCCUAAUACAUGCAAGUCGAGCGAACAGAUAAGGAGCUUGCUCCUUUGACGUUAGCGGCGGACGGGUGAGUAACACGUGGGUAACCUACCUAUAAGACUGGGAUAACUUCGGGAAACCGGAGCUAAUACCGGAUAAUAUUUCGAACCGCAUGGUUCGAUAGUGAAAGAUGGUUUUGCUAUCACUUAUAGAUGGACCCGCGCCGUAUUAGCUAGUUGGUAAGGUAACGGCUUACCAAGGCGACGAUACGUAGCCGACCUGAGAGGGUGAUCGGCCACACUGGAACUGAGACGCGGUCCAGACUCCUACGGGAGGCAGCAGUAGGGAAUCUUCCGCAAUGGGCGAAAGCCUGACGGAGCAACGCCGCGUGAGUGAUGAAGGUCUUCGGAUCGUAAAACUCUGUUAUUAGGGAAGAACAUACGUGUAAGUAACUGUGCAUGUCUUGACGGUACCUAAUCAGAAAGCCACGGCUAACUACGUGCCAGCAGCCGCGGUAAUACGUAGGUGGCAAGCGUUAUCCGGAAUUAUUGGGCGUAAAGCGCGCGUAGGCGGUUUUUUAAGUCUGAUGUGAAAGCCCACGGCUCAACCGUGGAGGGUCAUUGGAAACUGUAAAACUUGAGUGCAGAAGAGGAAAGUGGAUUUCCAUGUGUAGCGGUGAAAUGCGCAGAGAUAUGGAGGAACACCAGUGGCGAAGGCGACUUUCUGGUCUGUAACUGACGCUGAUGUGCGAAAGCGUGGGGAUCAAACAGGAUUAGAUACCCUGGUAGUCCACGCCGUAAACGAUGAGUGCUAAGUGUUAGGGGGUUUCCGCCCCUUAGUGCUGCAGCUAACGCAUUAAGCACUCCGCCUGGGGAGUACGACCGCAAGGUUGAAACUCAAAGGAAUUGACGGGGACCCGCACAAGCGGUGGAGCAUGUGGUUUAAUUCGAAGCAACGCGAAGAACCUUACCAAAUCUUGACAUCCUUUGACAACUCUAGAGAUAGAGCUUUCCCCUUCGGGGGACAAAGUGACAGGUGGUGCAUGGUUGUCGUCAGCUCGUGUCGUGAGAUGUUGGGUUAAGUCCCGCAACGAGCGCAACCCUUAAGCUUAGUUGCCAUCAUUAAGUUGGGCACUCUAAGUUGACUGCCGGUGACAAACCGGAGGAAGGUGGGGAUGACGUCAAUCAUCAUGCCCCUUAUGAUCUGGGCUACACACGUGCUACAAUGGACAAUACAAAGGGCAGCGAAACCGCGAGGUCAAGCAAAUCCCAUAAAGUUGUUCUCAGUUCGGAUUGUAGUCUGCAACUCGACUACAUGAAGCUGGAAUCGCUAGUAAUCGUAGAUCAGCAUGCUACGGUGAAUACGUUCCCGGGUCU
RNAcentral lists this ribosomal RNA (1371 nucleotides) under uncultured bacterium. Its description in RNAcentral is "bacterial SSU rRNA". It matches the Rfam family "Bacterial small subunit ribosomal RNA", at positions 28 to 1381 of the family's 1533-position model. The record is from RNAcentral.